This 253-nucleotide ribosomal RNA is filed under the name uncultured bacterium. RNAcentral's name for it is "partial 16S ribosomal RNA". It matches the Rfam family "Bacterial small subunit ribosomal RNA", at positions 524 to 776 of the family's 1533-position model. The record is from RNAcentral.
UACGUAGGUGGCGAGCGUUGUCCGGAUUUACUGGGCGUAAAGAGCGCGCAGGCGGCUGGUCAAGUCCGAUGUGAAAGCUCCCGGCUUAACUGGGAAACGGCAUCGGAAACUGAUCGGCUUGAAGGUGGGAGAGGGUAGCGGAAUUCCCGGUGUAGUGGUGAAAUGCGUAGAUAUCGGGAGGAACACCAGUGGCGAAGGCGGCUACCUGGCCCAUUCUUGACGCUGAGGCGCGAAAGCUAGGGGAGCAAACGGG